RNAcentral lists this unclassified non-coding RNA (282 nucleotides) under uncultured Glomeraceae. RNAcentral's name for it is "sequence contains ITS2". The stretch from base 1 to 53 matches the Rfam family "5.8S ribosomal RNA", at positions 102 to 154 of the family's 154-position model. The record is from RNAcentral. Lineage: Eukaryota; Fungi; Glomeromycota; Glomeromycetes; Glomerales; Glomeraceae.
GAACGCAUAUUGCACUUUCUGGUAUUCCGGAAAGUAUGCCUGUUUGAGGGUCAGUUAAAUAAAAAUCGGUGUUGUUGCUGCCCUUCGUGGUGACGCGUCGGAAUUGAGUUGUCUUACCUUCGGUUAAGUGACUUAAAAUUUUGUAUGAUUUUCGAACGUAUUUAAAUUUAUUUGAACGUUUGAUAUCGAAUGCUUAUUAGGUUCGGUCAUCCUCAUGACUCGCGCCUAUAAUUUUUCAUUAAAUGACCUCAAAUCAGGUAAGAAUACCCGCUGAACUUAAGC